GGUUAAGCGACUAAGCGUACACGGUGGAUGCCCUGGCAGUCAGAGGCGAUGAAGGACGUGCUAAUCUGCGAAAAGCGUCGGUAAGGUGAUAUGAACCGUUAUAACCGGCGAUGUCCGAAUGGGGAAACCCAGUGCAAUUCGUUGCACUAUCGUUAACUGAAUACAUAGGUUAACGAGGCGAACCGGGGGAACUGAAACAUCUAAGUACCCCGAGGAAAAGAAAUCAACCGAGAUUCCCCCAGUAGCGGCGAGCGAACGGGGAGCAGCCCAGAGUCUGAAUCAGC
RNAcentral lists this ribosomal RNA (284 nucleotides) under Klebsiella pneumoniae. RNAcentral describes it as "partial 23S ribosomal RNA". It matches the Rfam family "Bacterial large subunit ribosomal RNA", at positions 1 to 285 of the family's 2925-position model. Lineage: Bacteria; Pseudomonadati; Pseudomonadota; Gammaproteobacteria; Enterobacterales; Enterobacteriaceae. The record is from RNAcentral. RNAcentral also lists the same sequence under 1 other name.